GAACCGACUGUGGUUAAGGAAGGACGCGUGCUGCUAAUAGUGAGGGAAUUUUACGGUGUGAGAUUGCCAUCUCAUGAAUAGCCCACAAAAAUCUCUGCCAGUACUGCAUCUCUGAAGUUAUCAGGCCUGACAUUCUCUGAGGCAAUGAGGGAAUCCUGUUUCAUCUGGAAGAGAGUACAAGUGUCAUCAGCCUGAGAAGAAGAGUACAGCAGCAAUAGUAGCAUCAGGACCUAGCUGGUACAAGUAGUUGCAUGAGGAUGUUAACAGAAACAGCAGGAAAAAUGCAGGAAAUUCCCUUUAAGUUCUGCUGGUGGGACUGACAAACAACCUUCAGGACUUGCACAGGCAUAACAAUUUGCUUCCCUCCUUCUCCUCCAUUCUGGGAAGAAAAAAUGUAAGAAGUUCUUUCAGCAUAGAUCAAGAAACACCACUACCUUCAGGCCUGGCCAGCACAAGUUCUGUACACACUUCUAUUAUGAAUGGUGCUAUCAAAAUAAAUAAAUUACAUGUU
This is a long non-coding RNA of Portunus trituberculatus (swimming crab), 511 nucleotides long. RefSeq lists it as uncharacterized. The record is from RefSeq and is a predicted model, not a curated record. NCBI's taxonomy places the organism in Eukaryota, Metazoa, Arthropoda, Malacostraca, Decapoda, Portunidae. The transcript has 2 exons.